This is a long non-coding RNA of Bufo bufo (common toad), 155 nucleotides long. RefSeq lists it as uncharacterized. The transcript has 3 exons. Lineage: Eukaryota; Metazoa; Chordata; Amphibia; Anura; Bufonidae. The record is from RefSeq and is a predicted model, not a curated record.
UCAGGGUCUGAGGUUCCUGUGUAUGAGCCCGCCUACCAUCUGGGUCUGCUCAUACAGUUAGGAGUCAGGGCCAGGAUUAGGGCAUCUCUAGGAGGUGAUCUGCUCCCUUUUCCUGGUGUUCAAGCCUAGCUGCUUCCCCAUUUUGGGCACACCCA